Molecule: long non-coding RNA, 4350 nt
Organism: Paralichthys olivaceus (Japanese flounder)
Lineage: Eukaryota; Metazoa; Chordata; Actinopteri; Pleuronectiformes; Paralichthyidae
Source: RefSeq, a predicted model, not a curated record
GAAAGUCACGACCUGCUCUCCGCUUGUCCUGGUAAACAAUGCUGCUCCCGGACGGCGACAGGGGCUGAAUCGCCGCACUCUGAAGGGGAAAUCACAUUCACGGAGCUUUUCUGCCCGACGACCACCGAUCCAGUUUCCGUUUUUUCUCUCAAAAUGUCUCCGAGGCGACGUUAAGAUUCCGUUUUCCGGGGAAGGACGCUCUCAUGGCGCAGAAAGGACGCUCGAUUUCUAGAUCGGCGGUGGAGGGGGAGGGGCCGCGCAAUCACGCCCUACGUGAGAACACUGCCGCGGUGAGCCGCUGGGGGCGCUACAGCACCGCCAUAGAUCUGACCUAAUACGUUUCCACAAAUGAAUGACUCCAUGAACUUUACUGUUUAAAUACACGAGUAACUCGUUUAAAAAAUGUAUAUUAACAAUUACACACUUUGCUUUAAGUGUUUAAAAAUGCAUGUAACCCGUGGAUUCACUUUGCACUGGACUUAAUGUAGUAAAUAGAAUAAUUCUUGUUAAAUUAGUUAUAACAUUAAAUUAUAUCAAAUUCAAUACAGUUGUGGCAAGUGCAUAAUGGUAGAAGAGACUUGUUUUUAAUUUAAAAAAUAAAAAAGUUAGCUUAAACUGACAUCCUUGAUUUAUUAAGCUUGAAGUAAAUGAUAAAAGUAUUAUUAGUAAUAGUAGUUGUAUUAUUUACUGUAUCACAGGUGCAGCAGUAUAUUAGGCCAUGUCACUCCUCCCUGCAGAUGAGUACAGCUACAACAAAAUGCACAAAAGUCAGGUUUCCAUUUUUUAUCACAUUUUACUGAUCUGUUUUUUUUUUUAAAUGUCUACGCUCAUCUUUCUUCUACUCUGCUGCAAGAAGUGAAUGACUACAGAUGUCUUAAAACAAAUAACCUUCUUAUUUAGAGUCCAGCACACUAUCUACACACUAUCUAGGCCAUAUUUCGGUCAUUCGCUGGUCGAUCAAAACCAUCCACCCCUCCUGACAUUUCCUGGAAAUACAUUCCGAUUAUCUGCCUUUGUCAUAAACCCAUCCUCACUUUAAACUUCACUAUGAACUCAAAGACUGUCUGCUUUAAUUUUUUCCCUCUUACUGGAAAAUGGAGUAAUAUAAUAAUUACACUCACACUUACUCAAUAAGACACACAUUGGAUCAGUUUGAUAAUAUGUGUCUCUUUUCAUUGUUUUCUGGCAAAAUCUGACACAUGCACAUGUAUAAAAAAAAUCAUAUGUGACAUAAAAUAACUGCAUAUGUACAAACACAGUGCUUUGUGCAAAUGUGUACAGAUUACGAUCAUGUGUUGAUAAAUGAUACAUGGGUAAUGUGCACAAAACAUACAUAAUACAUCUCAUUCAUAAACAUAAAGCAAAUAAACAAAGAUUUCAAAUCAAAUAACUCUCAUCUAUUUUUUUGUCCCAGUUUAAUUAAAAACACAUACGGAUUGAAUUUACGAAAACAUUUUACACUGAAAAGAGUUUAAGCUGUCACUAUUUAAAUGAGUGAUGAGGCAACUCUAUUUUUUGCCGUGAUGCCUUUAGUGCUGAUUAAACAUUCCUUUAUGCUUCUCUCUUGUAUUUCUGCCACAGGGCAGAAUCGCAUUUCUUCAACAAAACGGGAUGAAUUAACUUCUCCUCAAUGCACUCAGCUGUUUAAUUGAUUGCAUUUUUUUCCCAAACGCAGCACUGGAUGUCUGGGGCCACUACUUUCCCUCUGCCCAAAGUAAAAGAAACCUUGUAACACACGCACACACACACACACACACACAGUCAAAAGGGAGGACAUCCAAACAACCCGAAAUGAGUGAAUUGAGGAAUCCCGUGUGUAAUGUUCAACAUAAGUGAGGACAAAAUGAAAUGAAAUUAAAGGAUGAGAGUAUGGUACAGAAUCAAGCUAAAAUGUAGUGUGUCGAGCAAAGAAGAAAAUUGUCCAUUGGGUAAGAAACCUUCCUUCACAAAUAAUACUUGGGAUGCUCAUUUGUUUCCUUUACUUCGUGUGUUGUGACAAUAUGAAUUACAAUAGCGGAGCGAAAGAUGUGAUUUUUGGAAAAGCAAUGAAAAAGAUUUUGCAGAGCAGAUCUCAUGUAGCUAUUUUUGUGUCAUUCUGGGGACAUUUCCAAUAGAGAAACGUCUUUGGAUUUUUAUACUACUCGGGUUAUCAUGAUCAUUUGAUACAAAUAAUCACAGCUGACAUAUUCAUAAUUCAAAAGGCACUGGUUGUGUAUGUUUGGAGUGCGCAGUGGCAGAGGAACACAAGAAUGCUGUUAAUGCUUGUGGGUGGCUAUAUAAAUAGAUAUUUCAAUUCUGUCUUUGUUUCUAUGUGUGUGGCCAUCGCUUCAAAAGGGAGAUUCUUAAGCCUAAAUGUUGACCUGCUGCUAAAAAGAUAUGGUGGUGCGUGUUUAUGCAAAUCAUAAACUAGUCAUUAUGCAAAGUUUAGGAUUUGUCUCUUCUCCCUUUCAAAGAAUGCAACUUUGUGCAUCCUUUACAGAUAAGGCAGUGUCAGCAAAAUCAUAAUUAAACAAAGGCCAUACAGUUGAUAUGAUAUUGAUUAUUUUUCUUUUGAAUCACUCACAUCAACAGUGAUCUCUCAUGGGUGAUUUACUUUGAAUUGGAAUAAAACUUAAAUAUCUUUCUCACACACACACACAGACACACGCUAAGGGGAAAGAAGUGUUUUCAGGAGUAAGGACAAAGCAUGAAGUGAGUAAAAGAGCAAAGAGAGCUUCAGAUGUGCCAGGUAUUCGAUGGGAACACCACCAUAUUAUUCCAGGCAGCCAGUUAAUGACAGAAUGAAGGAACUGGAAAAGAGCAAAGAGAAAAAAAAAAGAUGGAAUUGUCCAAACAAAUGCAGCAAAACCUGCACAACAAGCAUACUUUCAUCAAACAUACAAUCAUAAUCUACUCUCAUUAUGAAAACAGCAUGAUAAAAAAACUUUCUGAAAACCAAAGUAACCAAAAAAUACAGUCAUAGUUUUAGGCACCACAAAACAAUCAGCUAGUUUAGGUUGCACUGCACCUAUAGAUCACUCAAUUAAAGUGGCAAAAUUUAAGUAUAUUGUUACAGUAGAGGCUCCAGUAAAUGAAGGGGCCAUAACAGGGUCAAAGUGAAAAGUCCCACCCCUUCAACGACAAAUCACUAAAGGCAGACAAUACUGAACUACUGAAUAAAUCUACUGGACGGAAAGAUGUUGAUUUCUUUUUAUUCAGCAAUGAAGGCAAAAAUGUCCCUUAAUUUGAAUCUGAGGUUUUACAGAAGACACAGAGAUCAUAGCUGAUCUGUGCUAUGAUACUGCAACCCAGAGCAACAUGGACCACCCUAUCAUUUAUCGAGAACUACACAGUGAUUGUCCCUCACAGUCUCACUUCCAGUGCCUACUCCACCCUAAACGUAUUCUAUGUAUCAAACUCUCACCCCACUGUGGAUUUAAAGUUUAAGUCUGUUCACAUCCUCUUCUUAUCCAGACAGAGCCUGAUAUAUUUCAUUUCUCUGAGGUGCAUUGUUGUCCACUGUUAGUGCUGGGAGACUUACUCCCUUGUUGAACUAAUAAGGGGUCAGUUGUUAUUUUAAGUUAAUCCCACAUGCACUGUCCUGCUGCCAUAAAUACAAACUACCACAGCAAAUCCACCACUGAAAAUAGUCCCCCAACAAAUACACAAUUUACUGCCUUGAUGGCCUAUGAGUUAAGGUGCUGCUGACCAUAAACCACAGCAUCCUGCAGUUCAUGUAUGUCUGGGCACCUUUGUUGCAUGUCGUUCCUGCCAUCACGCCCCAAAAUACUAAAAAGAUUGGGCUGAGAGCCGUGAGGGAGGAGAGGAGAGUCAGGAAGUGUUGAGAGAUGCAGUAACUUUGUUGGUUUUGGUCUUUUCAUCUUGUCAUUUUACAUUUUUUAGCAACAACAAAAAUAUAAAAUUUCUGUAAGCCUUAUCCGUGGGUGUAAAAAAGUUUUAGUUAGUUUUUUUUCAUACAGCAUCCAACUGUGAGGCUCAGCUCCUUUAAAGUUGUUCUGACCCAGUUAAAAAGCAGACCGACACUGGAGCAGAGUAUUUUGCUGUACUUUUAUGGAAAUACAUGUCGGACAGCAGACAAAGUGGAUUAUUACGACAGAGUAUUGCGACAAUUUAAAGGUGGGGGAAAUUGGAGAAUUUAAGAAUUAAGUAGUAGUUUAGGCUACAUGUAAUGUUAAAGGGGGAAAAACAGAAGCUCAACUCAUGUUAAAAUGAGGAACGUGGCACAUCAAGUCAUAUUUCAGUAUAAAUUUUACAAAUAAUGAAACACUUCCCUUUUUUCACAUCAGCACCAAGUCAUCAGGACUGUGAACAGAUUGUCUAGGAAAGUGUGUAUAUUCCAAAGGAAAAAAA